AUGCGCCUGUUGGCCCAAUCUCCGACCAUACAACUCUCGCAAAUUAAUGUUUCGGUCAAAACAAUGUGUUUUUUUUUGGAUAUAGCACUCAACACAAGGGGGUCAAGUGUCUUGAUGUUUCUACCGGUCGAGUAUACAUAUCUCGUGAUGUUGUGUUCGACGAAACUAAAUUCCCCUUCUCUGAUCUACAUCCAAAUGUCGGCGCUUUACUUCGGAAAGAAAUUCUACUUCUUCCUCCUACUCUAA
This 246-nucleotide ribosomal RNA is filed under the name Triticum aestivum (bread wheat). RNAcentral describes it as "partial small subunit ribosomal RNA". Lineage: Eukaryota; Viridiplantae; Streptophyta; Magnoliopsida; Poales; Poaceae. The record is from RNAcentral.